Molecule: ribosomal RNA, 531 nt
Filed under: Gastrotheca rebeccae (Rebecca's marsupial frog)
Lineage: Eukaryota; Metazoa; Chordata; Amphibia; Anura; Hemiphractidae
Description: partial large subunit ribosomal RNA
Rfam family: Bacterial large subunit ribosomal RNA
Source: RNAcentral
UGACAAUGUUCAACGGCCGCGGUAUCCUAACCGUGCGAAGGUAGCGUAAUCACUUGUCCUUUAAAUGAGGACUAGUAUGAAUGGCACCACGAGGGUUAUACUGUCUCCUUUUUCCAAUCAGUGAAACUAAUCUUCCCGUGAAGAAGCGGGAAUAUAGCUAUAAGACGAGAAGACCCUAUGGAGCUUUAAACGAAACAACACUUGCUAUAACACACACCAAUCUCAGGAAAUCAACCUUUAUCUUAGCACCUUGACUGUUAGUUUUAGGUUGGGGUGACCGCGGAGUAUAAAACAACCUCCAUGGUGAACGGGGGCCUCCCCCUAAGCAAAAAGCCACAACUUUAUGCAUCAACAAAUUGACAUCAAUUGACCCAAUAUUUUGAUCAACGAAACAAGUUACCCUAGGGAUAACAGCGCAAUCCACUUCGAGAGCCCAUAUCGACAAGUGGGUUUACGACCUCGAUGUUGGAUCAGGGUACCCCAGUGGUGCAGCCGCUACUAAAGGUUCGUUUGUUCAACGAUUAAAACCCU